UUCUCAAAGAUAAUCAAUAUUUACAGUAGUUUAUGUGCGUACACUAUUCGAAAUAACAAUAUUGUGAAUAUUAUAUCAUAUUUUUACUUUCGACUGCCUGCAAAGUUUUUCAUGUGUCUGCUAAAAGCUGCUAUAACGUCGAAUAAAUUACGGUUAAGCUGCCGUAAUCAACGUUACACACAUAAUUAAGUUUGGGUAAGAUGGCCCACUUUUUUCAUGAUAAGUCGGCCCACACAAUCGAUAUAUUAAUAUGACUAUCUGCGAGACAAAAGUCGAUUAAUUGCUUAUCACACAGCUCGUGGCACUGGCUUUUUGUUAUUGUAGAAAAGGAUUGUGGAUGAUGCAAUAAAAAUGCCAAAUAAAAAUAGGAAUUGAGAACAUACUCGAGGUUAAUCUUGAAAGAAGAUUUAAAUCUGCUAACGCAACAAAGGGUGGAAUGAGGCAUAUCUGCUCGUUUGGAAUGAAGAAAGAAUGCACCAUAUUAAAAUGAUGCAAAAGCAUGGUUUUCCGCUUACUUGAGAUGAUCUUUGUACACUGGCUUAUAACUUUGCUAAUCAACUUGAAAUCAAACACAGAUUCAAUAAUGAAACUCAAAAAGUUGGAUGAGUGACUUUAUUCAUUUUUGUCUAGACAUCCUGAUGUUUCUGUACGCAAAUCAGAAAGUUUAUCUCUUGCUAGAAGUCUUUGUAUGUAAGUAAAUUGGAUUUAAUGCAUUCGCUGCAAGCGGUGGCUGCAUGAAACGUGUACAUCAUUUAUUGAUGUUUGCCAAAUGUGUGGGAAAAUUAUAUAUAUAUUUGUAACUAAAUAUGUAAAAUUAUAAGUUUUUUUUAUUAUUUUACAAGAUGUUAAGUGCAUCUUUAACAUUAAAAUAUGUAUGGCCAAUGUCCCGUAAUGCUAUGGCCAUCUUUUCCUUAAAGGUCAGAUAAGAUGGCCAAUGCAUAUGUUGUAAUACUUUGAUAAUAUAAAAUUUAUGUUAAGUGUUUUCUUCUUAAUUUUGAUAGUUUUACGUACUUUAAGCUUCA
Long non-coding RNA from Temnothorax curvispinosus, 1022 nucleotides. RefSeq lists it as uncharacterized. The record is from RefSeq and is a predicted model, not a curated record. Lineage: Eukaryota; Metazoa; Arthropoda; Insecta; Hymenoptera; Formicidae. The transcript has 3 exons.